Lolium perenne is the source of this 3533-nucleotide long non-coding RNA. RefSeq lists it as uncharacterized. The record is from RefSeq and is a predicted model, not a curated record. NCBI's taxonomy places the organism in Eukaryota, Viridiplantae, Streptophyta, Magnoliopsida, Poales, Poaceae.
UGCCUCCCGCCGCCACCCCGCGCCGCCUCUCCCCUUCUGCCCCGCACACACCGCAGCCGCGCGCCAUGGCGUUGCCAGGAGGAGCGCCUGCUCGCGCGCCGCAAUCCCCUUCUCAUAGCUAAACCGUAUCUCCGCAACUAGAAACGCGCGGUUCUACUGGCAGCUCGCGAGAUCCACACGGCGGCCGGGAGAUGGAGGGCGGCGACCGGCGGCGGGGAGCAGCGCCGGAGGGGCGGCGGCCGGAGGAGCGGCGGCCGGAGGUGGAGGGCGGCGGCCGGAGCUCCAUCUUCCCCGAGCUACAGUAAUCCAAAUCAACCACUCCGUGAGUCUCCUCCUCCCCCGAUUUCUUCCUCAACCCUAGCCGCCAUGGCCGCGACUCCCUCCUCCCCCAAUUUCUUCCUCUCCCCGAGGCUCAGCCUCCAUGCUCUCCUCGUCUCGGUUGCAGCGUGCCGCCGCGCGGUGGGAGGAGCGGCUGGGCAGUAGCGCGGCGACAUUCCCAUCGUCUUUGGCAAAGGAGGCCAGCUGCAGACGGAUGUUCUGCGGUUGGGUCCUCCAGCUCGUGCUGCUCCGCGCGAGCAGCAACAGCGCCGGCGGAUGAUGCGGGAGAUCGCCAAGAGCCAGGACUCCCAGCUCCUUCGAUUUCGUCGAAGUCACCGCGGUUCUCCCUUAUCCACCUUCCUCCCGCGUCCUCUCUCGAUGAUGUUGGCCAGCAGCACAACAACCUACCGUCUUGUCCUCUUCUUCAUUGGAGAUCUACAGGUGUUGCUGAUUCUUAUUAUUUGAUCGAGCUCAGCCUCCUCUGCUCCCUCUUCAUCUUGCACGGUGCCUCAUAGGUGUCUGCCAGUUUUAUGAUAGAGCUCCUGGUGGAUGGCCUUCUCAGUCCACUGGUUGGGACAUCUUCAGCAUCAGAUACCGUGUCGUUGGCUGUUGUGCUCAACACCCACAUGUUGGCCCUUCGCUCAGAUCUGAAGUGAUGAAAGGUUUGAAUUUUUCAAGAGGUGAGAUGACACAGCAGGAGAUUAAAGAUCCAAAGUCUUCACUUAACAGGUUGGUUUCUUCUCUUUGGCAUAUGCAUAGGAGACGUAAGUGGAGUAUGCAAUACACACUGCAAACUUGCAGUUGCGUAGCUGUUUGAUAGGUGUGGAAAUGUUCUUAUACAGCAAGACUAGAUUAUUGAUAUUUACAUCGCUUUGGUAUAUGUGCAACAGGGUAGUUUUGAUUCAGCCUGAGAUGGAAAUUAUAUCAUUCCACUGCAUCUUGCAUCUCAGUUUUGAUCGGUUAUGACUUGAUAGACUAUCAAAGCUAGCAGAAUGGCUGAUAGACUGUCGAAGCUAGCAGAAUAGCAGAAUGGUUGACAACCUUUGCACAAUUAUGAUUAUUUACUUUUUGAUGAAACAAGGAUUAAUCAUAUAUGUGAAAUUAGAAGAGUAGUGUUGUUAACAUUCUAUGUGAAAGUGGAAGGGGUUCAAGGGUAGCUUAGACGUGAGACCUGCCACCAAUCAACUAUGUAGCUUUACCGAUCAGUUCUUGAGUGGUUGAAAAAUGGAAUAAUUUUUCAUGAUGCUAGAUAUUUCCUUAUGAUUUAACAAUAUGGUCCAGCAGUGGUAGUCAUUGUUCUGUAUUACUAGCCUGUAUUUCUUGUCUCAGUUGUCUUCAUUACCAAUUGUCAUUUAUAAAUAUUGAAGAAACCAAUCUGGUUGCUCACUUAUAUUUUAGAAUCCAUAUUAUCUAUUCUCGGAAUGGUUCUGUGUCCAUCUCCUGUAGAUUAAUCACCUGAUAAGAAACACCUACGAGAUAAAAUUAUGCUGUGAGAAUGCUGGGUAUUUACCUAUUUUUUUGCGGGUAGUAGUUACAUAUUAUGUAACACAAAUAGUAUAGGUAGAAGAGGGUUUGGAAUUACAACUGUGAGUUAAGUGUUCUUUCUAGCUUUAGCGUGCUGGGAGUCCCCACUCUCAAGUUAUAGGACCAGUGACAUACAUGUGGCAUCAUUCUCAUGAGAGAGUAGAAAUCAGAUGCCAAAGAAUGAGAUUUUUCCAAUUCCCAUCAUACAGUUGUUUGUAAGGCCAAUUAUGGAUAUGGAUCCAUCUUUGUGGCUUGGAUGAAAUUCAGGGUUGAAGCCUGAAGAGGAGCCUUUCAUUUUCUUGAUCCAUAUAGGCUUAUAAGCUGGAAAUUUCUUUAAUUGGAGUUUAGGUGAUUUGUUGGGUUCUGAUCAAUGGCAUUUAAUCCUUAGAGGUUAAUGUUUUAGUACUGAGGGCAUAAUUCUUGAUGGAGUGUUUGGGUUGGGCUACCUGAAACAGAAUGUGCAGAAGCGGGGGCUCGACUUGCCCAUCCCGCGUGGCAAGUUUGAAGAAAUCAUCCCUUCAAUUGCAAAGGCUCUAGGUGUACAUGGUAAGCAUAUCUAAAAAAUCAUAUUCGAUGAGCAUGUUAUUUUAGUUUGAUGUGGAGUUUCUGGGUCCUUGGGUACAUAGAUUCAUGUUACUCACCUAUUCACUGUGCAUUUUAUUUCAAUUUGACAUGGAAUUUCUGGGUCCUUGGCUACUAAUUCAAGUCAGCGGAGUGCCUGCAUGGCCACACUAUCCCGAUGUUAGAAACAGUAACCAUAUGGUUUCAAUGUGGAAUCACGCCGCCCUCUCUCGCUAUCAUCCAUCCCCACUUUAACCAUCCAAUACUGCUGGCGGAUCGUACCUUGCAGCCACUGGGGAAGAAUGGGAAAUUUAAUUGUUUUAUACAUAUAGAUGGUUAGAUACAGACUUUGAUAUUCACUUAUGUUAAUGUCUUAUAGUUAUGUUAGAUCAUAUAUUCUAUUUAGUUUAAACCUAUGCACAUGUCUUUCUAAUUGAAGUUUAUAAUGUCCAUGCAUAUUGGUUAAGUUAGUCACCCAGACUACUGGCUUUUUGUAUGAGUAUGUAUAAAAGUUAAUGUACUGAAUAUAUUAACUAUGUGAGGUGUGUCCUAUAGUGAGGUAAUACAACGUGCCUUAUUUACAGUUAAGAAAAAUCCCAUAUUAUGUGGUAUCAACUGUAUUUAGUUGGAUCAUUCUCGGUCCAAUGCAUAUUGUUCUCUUAGUCAUCUAUCGGAUUGUUAUUUUCUUCUUCAUUUAUUAGUAACUUUGUAAUUCCCAAUUAAAUUUCUGUGCCUUUUCUUUGACAGGGACAACGAAUCAGAAGUAGUAUAUGCCAUACUGCAAUUCUUGUCAUAGCAGGUGACAAAAGGAGGAUCUAUUCUAUUUGGACUAAACUACAAUUUGCACCACUUGCUAAUAAUUAAUCCGCCUUGAUGGAUCUUAUGUACGAACCUGGAGGGAGAGAGGGGUCUUAAUAUGAGCAAUGUCCAGUGAGUUGUGUUGAUGUACUACCAGAAAACAAAAGAAAAGAUCAAUUAAUAUCUUAAAAUUGUAGAGUUUUUCUCAGUUUGUUAUUAAGUGUAUUACAGAAUGAUCAUCACUACAUUUUCGUAAGCAUAUGAAAAUUAUUAUCAUUUUUCUACUUAUACACGAGCUUCACGGGAUCGUGCGCCAAGGCGCACAUCUAAAU